UUUGAAGAGAGAGUUCAAGAGUACGUGAAACUGCUCAGAGGUAAACAGGUGGGCCCUCGAAAUCCUGUGGUGGGAGGAUUCAGUCAAAGGGCGAGAGCCUUGCGUGUCCUAAUUCAUGAUUUGAUCCGUGACGGACUAUCAGGAUCGUUUGCUCUCUCGCACGGCGACGCAAUUCUUUCCUGCCCGAAGGACGCCGCAACCGGUUGGGAGACGGCUUGAAAGGUGGACUAAGCAUAGGUGGCCGGCUGCUGCUCUUGUGGUAGUCAGUCGGUGUCUGGGCUGUCCGUCAGUGGCACGUAUCCCGACCGUGGUGACACGAAGCCCGCUCACAUGGGCUUCUCCGUCUCCUCCUUAACUGGACGGCGGACUUUGUGACGUGGCAGGGGUUCUCCGCACCGUGGGCGCACAGAAACAUCUGUCGGCCACGCGGUCAGUAGUCCUCGAGAUGGCCACGCUUUUCCGUUGGAGGCUGACGGUUGGCGGCGAGUAGGUC
Molecule: ribosomal RNA, 493 nt
Filed under: Theridiosomatidae sp. TSMD-001-THAI
Lineage: Eukaryota; Metazoa; Arthropoda; Arachnida; Araneae; Theridiosomatidae
Description: partial 28S ribosomal RNA
Source: RNAcentral